Molecule: ribosomal RNA, 561 nt
Filed under: uncultured fungus
Lineage: Eukaryota; Fungi
Description: partial 18S ribosomal RNA
Rfam family: Eukaryotic small subunit ribosomal RNA
Source: RNAcentral
GACUCAACACGGGGAAACUCACCAGGUCCAGACAUGACUAGGAUNGACAGAUUGAUAGCUCUUUCAUGAUUUUAUGGGUGGUGGUGCAUGGCCGUUNUUAGUUGGUGGAGUGAUUUGUCUGGUUAAUUCCGAUAACGAACGAGACCUUAACCUGCUAAAUAGCCAGGCCGGCUUUUGNUGGUCUCCGGCUUCUUAGAGGGACUGUCUGNGUNUAGCAGACGGAAGUUUGAGGCAAUAACAGGUCUGUGAUGCCCUUAGAUGUUNUGGGCCGCACGCGCGCUACACUGACAGAGCCAGCGAGUUUUUUUUCCUUGGCCGGAAGGUCUGGGUAAUCUUGUGAAACUCUGUCGUGCUGGGGAUAGAGCAUUGCAAUUAUUGCUCUUCAACGAGGAAUUCCUAGUAAGCGUGAGUCAUCAGCUCGCGUUGAUUACGUCCCUGCCCUUUGUACACACCGCCCGUCGCUACUACCGAUUGAAUGGCUUAGUGAGGCUUUCGGAUUGGACUUUGGCAGCNGGCANCAGCANCUAGGGANNGAAAANUCNUCCAAACUUGGUCAUUUAG